This 443-nucleotide ribosomal RNA is filed under the name uncultured bacterium. Its description in RNAcentral is "partial 16S ribosomal RNA". It matches the Rfam family "Bacterial small subunit ribosomal RNA", at positions 338 to 795 of the family's 1533-position model. The record is from RNAcentral.
CCUACGGGAGGCAGCAGUGGGGAAUAUUGGGCAAUGGACGCAAGCCUGACCCAGCAACGCCGCGUGAAGGAAGAAGGCCCUCGGGUUGUAAACUUCUUUUAUCAGGGACGAAAAAAAUGACUGUACCUGAUGAAUAAGCCACGGCUAACUACGUGCCAGCAGCCGCGGUAAUACGUAGGUGGCAAGCGUUAUCCGGAUUUACUGGGUGUAAAGGGCGUGUAGGCGGGAGAGCAAGUCAGACGUGAAAUUCCGGGGCUCAACCCUGGAACUGCGUUUGAAACUGUUCUUCUUGAGUGAUGGCGAGGAAGGCGGAAUUCCGUGUGUAGCGGUGAAAUGCGUAGAUAUACUGAGGAACACCAGUGGCGAAGGCGGCCUGCUGGACAUUAACUGAAGAUGAGGCGCGAAAGCGUGGGGAGCAAACAGGAUUAGAUACCCGAGUAGUC